This 455-nucleotide ribosomal RNA is filed under the name uncultured Rhodoferax sp. RNAcentral's name for it is "bacterial SSU rRNA". It matches the Rfam family "Bacterial small subunit ribosomal RNA", at positions 927 to 1382 of the family's 1533-position model. Lineage: Bacteria; Pseudomonadati; Pseudomonadota; Betaproteobacteria; Burkholderiales; Comamonadaceae. The record is from RNAcentral.
AAGCGGUGGAUGAUGUGGUUUAAUUCGAUGCAACGCGAAAAGCCUUACCCACCUUUGACAUGUACGGAAGCCUUUAGAGAUAGAGACGUGCUCGAAAGAGAGCCGUAACACAGGUGCUGCAUGGCUGUCGUCAGCUCGUGUCGUGAGAUGUUGGGUUAAGUCCCGCAACGAGCGCAACCCUUGUCAUUAGUUGCUACAUUCAGUUGGGCACUCUAAUGAGACUGCCGGUGGACAAGCCGGAGGAAGGUGGGGAUGACGUCAAGUCCUCAUGGCCCUUAUAGGUGGGGCUACACACGUCAUACAAUGGCUGGUACAAAGGGUUGCCAACCCGCGAGGGGAGCUAAUCCCAUAAAGCCAGUCGUAGUCCGGAUCGUAGUCUGCAACUCGACUACGUGAAGUCGGAAUCGCUAGUAAUCGUGGAUCAGAACGUCACGGUGAAUACGUUCCCGGGUCUU